GNAGUGGCGGGUGCUAUACACGCAGUCUNACGGAUUGAUGGGAGCUUGCUCCCUGAUAUCAGCGGCGGACGGGUGAGUAACACGUGGGUAACCUGCCUGUAAGACUGGGAUAACUCCGGGAAACCGGGGCUAAUACCGGAUAACUCAUUUCCUCGCAUGAGGAAAUGUUGAAAGGUGGCUUUUAGCUAUCACUUACAGAUGGACCCGCGGCGCAUUAGCUAGUUGGUGAGGUAACGGCUCACCAAGGCAACGAUGCGUAGCCGACCUGAGAGGGUGAUCGGCCACACUGGGACUGAGACACGGCCCAGACUCCUACGGGAGGCAGCAGUAGGGAAUCUUCCGCAAUGGACGAAAGUCUGACGGAGCAACGCCGCGUGAGUGAUGAAGGUUUUCGGAUCGUAAAGCUCUGUUGUUAGGGAAGAACAAGUGCCGUUCGAAUAGGGCGGCACCUUGACGGUACCUAACCAGAAAGCCACGGCUAACUACGUGCCAGCAGCCGCGGUAAUACGUAGGUGGCAAGCGUUGUCCGGAAUUAUUGGGCGUAAAGCGCGCGCAGGUGGUUCCUUAAGUCUGAUGUGAAAGCCCACGGCUCAACCGUGGAGGGUCAUUGGAACACUGGGGGACUUUGAGUGCCGAAGAGGACAGUGGACAUUCCAGUGUGCGGUGAAAUGCGUAGAUUUUGGAGGAACCCCAGUGGGCGAAGGCG
RNAcentral lists this ribosomal RNA (706 nucleotides) under Bacillus sp. UST050418-096. Its description in RNAcentral is "bacterial SSU rRNA". It matches the Rfam family "Bacterial small subunit ribosomal RNA", at positions 36 to 723 of the family's 1533-position model. The record is from RNAcentral. Lineage: Bacteria; Bacillati; Bacillota; Bacilli; Caryophanales; Bacillaceae.